CCUACGGGUGGCAGCAGUGGGGAAUAUUGGGCAAUGGACGCAAGUCUGAACCAGCCAUGCCGCGUGAAGGAAGACGGCUCUAUGAGUUGUAAACUGCUUUUGUACGGGGGUAAACGCAGACACGCGUGCCUGUCUGAAAGUACUUUACGAAUAAGGAUCGGCUAACUCCGUGCCAGCAGCCGCGGUAAUACGGAGGAUUCAAGCGUUAUCCGGAUUUAUUGGGUUUAAAGGGUGCGUAGGGGGGCGGAUAAGUUAGAGGUGAAAUCCCGGGGCUCAACUUCGGAAUUGCCUUUGAUACUGGUCGGCUAGAGAGUAGUUGCGGUAGGCGGAAUGUAUGGUGUAGCGGUGAAAUGCUUAGAGAUCAUGCAGAACACCGAUUGCGAAGGCAGCUUACCAAGCUACUUCUGACGUUGAGGCACGAAAGCGUGGGGAUCAAACAGGAUUAGAUACCCUUGUAGUC
This 460-nucleotide ribosomal RNA is filed under the name uncultured bacterium. RNAcentral describes it as "partial 16S ribosomal RNA". It matches the Rfam family "Bacterial small subunit ribosomal RNA", at positions 338 to 795 of the family's 1533-position model. The record is from RNAcentral.